Molecule: unclassified non-coding RNA, 393 nt
Filed under: uncultured bacterium
Lineage: Bacteria
Description: contains 16S-23S intergenic spacer region
Source: RNAcentral
UCUCCAAUUACAAGGUCAGACGGGUUCUCGCCGCACCGCCCUAAAUGCUUUCCAAGCUAUCACAUCUACUUUUCACCUUGCCAUCAAGUUCCCCACCGAUCUUGGGGUCGGCACCGUGAGGGGAGAACAGACCGUGGCCAGAGAAUGUUAUGUUGCCUCACUUAAAGAAGUCAAGCUCAGGGAGGCUAUGAUCAUUGAAGGACUUGACGGCAGAGACGAGGACGAGCUGGUCAGAGGGAAACCAAUGGAAGAGCUUGUCGAGGUCCUCAUCGAUCCCAUUAACCCGGCCAAAACUGCCAAGAUCAACAACCAACUAUCCCUUAGGCCAAGGCCGACCUUACCGCCCUCUUGAUUGAGCACAACGAUGUAUUUGCAUGGACCCACUCCGAUAUG